UUAAGCGACUAAGCGUACACGGUGGAUGCCCUGGCAGUCAGAGGCGAUGAAGGACGUGCUAAUCUGCGAUAAGCGCCGGUAAGGUGAUAUGAACCGUUAUAACCGGCGAUUUCCGAAUGGGGAAACCCAGUGUGAUUCGUCACACUAUCAUUAACUGAAUCCAUAGGUUAAUGAGGCGAACCGGGGGAACUGAAACAUCUAAGUACCCCGAGGAAAAGAAAUCAACCGAGAUUCCCCCAGUAGCGGCGAGCGAACGGGGAGGAGCCCAGAGCCUGAAUCAGCAUGUGUGUUAGUGGAAGCGUCUGGAAAGGCGCGCGAUACAGGGUGACAGCCCCGUACACAAAAGCGCAUGUGUUGUGAGCUCGAUGAGUAGGGCGGGACACGUGGUAUCCUGUCUGAAUAUGGGGGGACCAUCCUCCAAGGCUAAAUACUCCUGACUGACCGAUAGUGAACCAGUACCGUGAGGGAAAGGCGAAAAGAACCCCGGCGAGGGGAGUGAAAAAGAACCUGAAACCGUGUACGUACAAGCAGUGGGAGCUGAGGGAAAGGCGAAAAGAACCCCGGCGAGGGGAGUGAAAAAGAACCUGAAACCGUGUACGUACAAGCAGUGGGAGCCCCACCACUAAGCCAGUGGUGAACUCCACAUACGCAUCCUUUGCUGAGGAUACGGUUAACGGAGCGCAAGCGACGUUCAACCGCAAAAGAAGCAGAGGGGGCUUAGUGGUGGGGUGACUGCGUACCUUUUGUAUAAUGGGUCAGCGACUUAUAUUCUGUAGCAAGGUUAACCGUAUAGGGGAGCCGGAGGGAAACCGAGUCUUAAUUGGGCGUUAAGUUGCAGGGUAUAGACCCGAAACCCGGUGAUCUAGCCAUGGGCAGGUUNAGGGAAACCGAGUCUUAAUUGGGCGUUAAGUUGCAGGGUAUAGACCCGAAACCCGGUGAUCUAGCCAUGGGCAGGUUGAAGGUUGGGUAACACUAACUGGAGGACCGAACCGACUAAUGUUGAAAAAUUAGCGGAUGACCUGUGGCUGGGGGUGAAAGGCCAAUCAAACCGGGAGAUAGCUGGUUCUCCCCGAAAGCUAUUUAGGUAGCGCCUCGUGAAUUCAUCUCCGGGGGUAGAGCACUGUUUCGGCUAGGGGGCCAUCCCGGCUUACCAACCCGAUGCAAACUGCGAAUACCGGAGAAUGUUAUCACGGGAGACACACGGCGGGUGCUAACGUCCGUCGUGAAGAGGGAAACAACCCAGACCGCCAGCUAAGGUCCCAAAGUCAUGGUUAAGUGGGAAACGAUGUGGGAAGGCCCAGACAGCCAGGAUGUUGGCUUAGAAGCAGCCAUCAUUUAAAGAAAGCGUAAUAGCUCACUGGUCGAGUCGGCCUGCGCGGAAGAUGUAACGGGGCUAAACCAUGCACCGAAGCUGCGGCAGCGAGUAAUAGCUCACUGGUCGAGUCGGCCUGCGCGGAAGAUGUAACGGGGCUAAACCAUGCACCGAAGCUGCGGCAGCGAACGUAUCACUUAAAGCGAUUCAGCGGGUUACGAUUGACGGAGCGAAGCGACGUCAAAGCGUAUACAAAGUCGAGUCGGUUUAAGGAUACGUUCGUUGGGUAGGGGAGCGUUCUGUAAGCCUGUGAAGGUGGCCUGUGAGGGUUGCUGGAGGUAUCAGAAGUGCGAAUGCUGACAUAAGUAACGAUAAAGCGGGUGAAAAGCCCGCUCGCCGGAAGACCAAGGGUUCCUGUCCAACGUUAAUCGGGGCAGGGUGAGUCGACCCCUAAGGCGAGGCCGAAAGGCGUAGUCGAUGGGAAACGGGUUAAUAUUCCCGUACUUGGUGUUACUGCGAAGGGGGGACGGAGAAGGCUAUGUUGGCCGGGCGACGGUUGUCCCGGUUUAAGCGUGUAGGUGUGUGUUCCAGGUAAAUCCGGUUCACUUUAACACUGAGGCGUGAUGACGAGGCACUACGGUGCUGAAGCAACAAAUGCCCUGCUUCCAGGAAAAGCCUCUAAGCAUCAGGUAACAUCAAAUCGUACCCCAAACCGACACAGGUGGUCAGGUAGAGAAUACCAAGGCGCUUGAGAGAACUCGGGUGAAGGAACUAGGCAAAAUGGUGCCGUAACUUCGGGAGAAGGCACGCUGACAUGUAGGUGAAGUGAUUUACUCAUGGAGCUGAAGUCAGUCGAAGAUACCAGCUGGCUGCAACUGUUUAUUAAAAACACAGCACUGUGCAAACACGAAAGUGGACGUAUACGGUGUGACGCCUGCCCGGUGCCGGAAGGUUAAUUGAUGGGGUCAGCGCAAGCGAAGCUCCUGAUCGAAGCCCCGGUAAACGGCGGCCGUAACUAUAACGGUCCUAAGGUAGCGAAAUUCCUUGUCGGGUAAGUUCCGACCUGCACGAAUGGCGUAAUGAUGGCCAGGCUGUCUCCACCCGAGACUCAGUGAAAUUGAACUCGCUGUGAAGAUGCAGUGUACCCGCGGCAAGACGGAAAGACCCCGUGAACCUUUACUAUAGCUUGACACUGAACAUUGAGCCUUGAUGUGUAGGAUAGGUGGGAGGCUUUGAAGCGUGGACGCCAGUCUGCGUGGAGCCGGCCUUGAAAUACCACCCUUUAAUGUUUGAUGUUCUAACGUGGACCCGUGAUCCGGGUUGCGGACAGUGUCUGGUGGGUAGUUUGACUGGGGCGGUCUCCUCCUAAAGAGUAACGGAGGAGCACGAAGGUUGGCUAAUCCUGGUCGGACAUCAGGAGGUUAGUGCAAUGGCAUAAGCCAGCUUGACUGCGAGCGUGACGGCGCGAGCAGGUGCGAAAGCAGGUCAUAGUGAUCCGGUGGUUCUGAAUGGAAGGGCCAUCGCUCAACGGAUAAAAGGUACUCCGGGGAUAACAGGCUGAUACCGCCCAAGAGUUCAUAUCGACGGCGGUGUUUGGCACCUCGAUGUCGGCUCAUCACAUCCUGGGGCUGAAGUAGGUCCCAAGGGUAUGGCUGUUCGCCAUUUAAAGUGGUACGCGAGCUGGGUUUAGAACGUCGUGAGACAGUUCGGUCCCUAUCUGCCGUGGGCGCUGGAGAACUGAGGGGGGCUGCUCCUAGUACGAGAGGACCGGAGUGGACGCAUCACUGGUGUUCGGGUUGUCAUGCCAAUGGCACUGCCCGGUAGCUAAAUGCGGAAGAGAUAAGUGCUGAAAGCAUCUAAGCACGAAACUUGCCCCGAGAUGAGUUCUCCCUGAGACUUAAAGUCUCCUGAAGGAACGUUGAAGACGACGACGUUGAUAGGCCGGGUGUGUAAGCGCAGCGAUGCGUUGAGCUAACCGGUACUAAUGAACCGUGAGGCUUAACCUU
This 3318-nucleotide ribosomal RNA is filed under the name Salmonella enterica subsp. enterica serovar Derby. RNAcentral's name for it is "bacterial LSU rRNA". It matches the Rfam family "Bacterial large subunit ribosomal RNA". Lineage: Bacteria; Pseudomonadati; Pseudomonadota; Gammaproteobacteria; Enterobacterales; Enterobacteriaceae. The record is from RNAcentral.